GACGAACGCUGGCGGCGCGCUUAACACAUGCAAGUCGAGCGAGAACCAGACCUUCGGGUCUGGGGACAGCGGCGAACGGGUGAGUAACACGUGGGUAGUCAACCCUCGGUACUGGGAUAGCCCGGGGAAACCCGGAUUAAUACCGGAUGGCCCUUCGGAUCUUCGGUUCUGAAGGAAAAGGUAGCUUCGGCCUCCGACCGAGGACGAGCCCGCGGCGGAUUAGCUUGUUGGUGGGGUAACGGCCUACCAAGGCGGCGAUCCGUAGCUGGUCCGAGAGGACGAUCAGCCACACUGGGACUGAGACACGGCCCAGACUUCUACGGAAGGCAGCAGUGGGGAAUCUUGCGCUAAUGCGGGAAACCGUGACGCAGCGACGCCGCGUGAGGGAAGAAGGCCUUCGGGUUGUAAACCUCUUUCAGGAGGGACGAAGCUACUCGGGUUAAUAGCCCAGAGGGUGACGGUACCUUCAGAAGAAGCCCCGGCUAACUACGUGCCAGCCGCCGCCGUAA
This 509-nucleotide ribosomal RNA is filed under the name uncultured bacterium. RNAcentral describes it as "partial 16S ribosomal RNA". It matches the Rfam family "Bacterial small subunit ribosomal RNA", at positions 28 to 523 of the family's 1533-position model. The record is from RNAcentral.